GAUCAUGGCUCAGGAUGAACGCCAGCUACAGGCUUAACACAUGCAAGUCGAGGGGCAGCAUGGUCUUAGCUUGCUAAGGCCGAUGGCGACCGGCGCACGGGUGAGUAACACGUAUCCAACCUGCCGUCUACUCUUGGACAGCCUUCUGAAAAGAAGAUUAAUACAAGAUGGCAUCAUGAGUCCGCAUGUUCACAUGAUUAAAGGUAUUCCGGUAGACGAUGGGGA
This 225-nucleotide ribosomal RNA is filed under the name uncultured bacterium. RNAcentral describes it as "partial 16S ribosomal RNA". It matches the Rfam family "Bacterial small subunit ribosomal RNA", at positions 15 to 231 of the family's 1533-position model. The record is from RNAcentral.